AUCAGCUCAACAAAGACUACUGUGUCUUUGCUUCUUCACUCCACAGAGAGGUAGAAAGAGAGAGCAAAGGGAAUAUCGAAGAAAGUGGUGGUUGAGGGUUUGAUUAGAUACGCGGCAAGGAUUGAUUUCUGUGAUUUCCAUCUCAAAUCAAUAUUCCAUCUCUAACCUGCAUUUGAUCAGUCGGCACGAGGUUAGCCACUUGUCACUCUGAAAUCUGCUCGACUCUUUCCCGACUUACCAUGUCCGAAGCAGAUAACCUGAGCAAAUUCCAUUAUCUCUAACCCAAAAUUGUAACAACCCAAACGCUCAAAACACCCGAUUCCUCAAUUUCAUUUCUUCUGCCGAGUAUGAAAAAGAUCAGAGGUUUCAAGCUCGGAAAACGACUCUGUCGGGUCACCCGAUGGUUCUUCCUCAGAAAAUCCACCACCCCAAAACGGAUACCACCGGUUUUGCCCGCCUUCAUCUCCGCCAUGCAAGUACAAGUCGCUUCGCGCAAAGCUACUCACUUGAGGGAAUUGUGGGCUAUAUGUGGUUGCUGCAUCUGCAACUCAAUCAGCUGCAACUGUAGUACAGGCUGGCACAAAAAGCUUACCUCUAAGCGACCAGCGGCUCAUUUUUUAGAAGCAAAAUGUCAGAGGUACUAGGAAUUGGUUAUAGGGUCGCCCCAAAAAAAGGAAGGCUUACUUUUGUGCUCCUCUUAUGAAGCCUUGCAGGUGCUUUUUGACGAGAGGGUCAUCUUGGCUCAUCAAUCAGGAUUAGAAGCUUCCCAACCUGCUCUAACUCAAUAUCGGGUGCUUGGUCCUACGAUGAAUGAAUGCUCAUGGAUUGAUUACAACCACUCACUAGCCGAAAGCAUCAGGUAUAAAUUCCUAAAUUUAAAUGUGGUAAAUACCCCAAAUCCAAUGCAUUGCCGUGAAACUGAGUUCAGACCCCUUAGUUUUUACAUGAUUGAGUCAAAGAUGUCUACUUUUUUACAUUUGGUUGCAUAGCAUGAUACUGCAAUUACAAUUUUGCUGCUGCAUGUUUCGUUGAUUCAAUAUACCCAGUUGACAAUGGGAUGGAAUUUGAAUAUGGUUGUGGCAUCUUUUUAUUGUCUAUAUGAAGAACUAGAAACUGAAGGAUCGGGAUGAUUUCAUGAGCUUGGUUGUAAGUUUUUGUUUUAUUUGAAAAGGCAGAUACUUUUAAUCUUAUUCCAGUGAGUUGUUGAUUGGUGGAACUGAAUUGGCUCAGUCUCAAUUGAUGCUUGGAUAUGGUGUUAGGUGUUGUAAUGACUAGCCAAGGAUUAAAGCUGAAAGUUCUCUUCCUAUGUAAUGUCAAGGUCUGCGUGUUACCAAGUUUAAAUGAAUGCUGACUUGCUGAGCUUUUAAAUUUGAACAGUGAUUGGUUUGGUUAGAAUGCAGUUCAUUAUCAACUUCUAUUUUUAGCUGACAGUUAUGAUGUAAUGUUUAUGUUUGUUUGUUCUCCCCCCUCUCAUUUCACGAGCUUUGAUGGAAAGAAGUUGUUUGCUUAGGUGUUGAAUAUCAAUUGGUUUCAGGAGGCAACCAAGUGGGAACAACUAGGUUGAAGAACUAGCUGCGGCUCUAGCAGUAAGCAAGGGUCAUCCUGUACAAAAUGAUAUCAAGCGGAUGCUGAUUAGCUUUUGGAAUCAGAAAGGAAGUUUCAUUGAUAUUGGUAUAAGCUAUCCCAAUUUCAUGUGUGGUAGACAUAAAGGUUUCGAAAUCAUGGUAUCAUUUAUAGUUCUGCUUCGUGAGUGAAAAGUUGUAGCUUAAAAAGAUAAAUGCAGAAGAUUAGAUGCUUUUAGUAACUACCUGUCGGCAGAGUGAAUGUAUAGGCUGGGCUUUCACACAGUUAGUUAAUGCCAUAUUUGCAGAAAGUGUUAAUUUUUGGAUGGCUGAGGAAAGCUUUAUGGAUCGCCUAGGCACCUAUAUGCAUGAAUCAUGCCCCAAGAUUGACAAAGAUUGCUGGCAAGCAAACUGUAAUGAACCAUUUCCAGAUUCUUUGGUGUUUGUAGUCCAUGGAUCAGAUGAGUCCACUCCGGUUGAAGAUGCAUUUGAGUUUGGCAAGAUCAUACCGGACCACUAAAUACAUAUUAUACAAAGAGCUAAUCAUUGUUACACGUCGAAUCAAGCGAAGUUGGACACAGUUGGUGGUGGACUUCAUAAAGGGAGCUCUGCAGCAAAACAAGGCUUUUUCCAACUAGCUAGUACAAGUGCACAGGAGAAUGUCUUCCAAAAUCACAUCAAGUGCAUGCCAAGCAAGAUUGAAAACUGAAGGACCAUCUUUAGAACAUUGUCAGUAGAAGAUCAAUAAAGCUGUGCAUAUAUUUUUGCUUCCUACAUGACAACAUUUUUUGGAUAAGACACUGAUUUAUAUGAAGCCGUGAAGACCUUUUUUGCUCCCUACAUAGCGAUCUUUUGUGAUGAAGUGAUAUCCACCAUUAUUUCGAUAAUAUAAUGUUUUGUAGAAAGACUGCAUACAAAAUGCAUAUCCUUGAACUAGAUUCAUACAAUGUAAACUAAGUUCUAAAACAAUUUGUUUAACGCAUAUUUUUCGUUUCAUGUAAACACAUCUUAGUUAUCUUUGUCAACCAAAUACUUAAAAUCGAACAUAAAGAGAUUAAAGUAGAAAAUCUGCCCCACGACAACGCGCGGGUUCUCAUGCUAGUUAUACUAUAUAUUAAAGUUGGGUUUCCGGUUACUGUUACUAAGCCGUUUUGGUAUCAGCUCGAGCCGAGCUGGUUUGUUGAAAUUAUGUUUCCGU
This is a long non-coding RNA of Rosa rugosa (rugosa rose), 2760 nucleotides long. RefSeq lists it as uncharacterized. The record is from RefSeq and is a predicted model, not a curated record. The transcript has 8 exons. Lineage: Eukaryota; Viridiplantae; Streptophyta; Magnoliopsida; Rosales; Rosaceae.